GGUUCCAUAGUGUAGUGGUGAAUACUCUGGUCUCUCACCCCAGUGACCUGAGUUCAAGUCUCAGUGGAACCU
Molecule: non-coding RNA, 72 nt
Organism: Syngnathus acus (greater pipefish)
Lineage: Eukaryota; Metazoa; Chordata; Actinopteri; Syngnathiformes; Syngnathidae
Source: the annotation of a RefSeq genome assembly